Molecule: transfer RNA, 64 nt
Filed under: uncultured Prevotella sp.
Lineage: Bacteria; Pseudomonadati; Bacteroidota; Bacteroidia; Bacteroidales; Prevotellaceae
Rfam family: tRNA
About the family: Transfer RNA (tRNA) molecules are approximately 80 nucleotides in length.
Source: RNAcentral
CUUGUAGCUCAGUUGGUAGAGCACCUGACUCUUAAUCAGGGUGUCCAGGGUUCGAACCCCUGCA